GACGGAGGAUGCAAGCGUUAUCCGGAAUGAUUGGGCGUAAAGCGUCCGCAGGUGGCAGUUCAAGUCUGCUGUCAAAGACCGGGGCUUAACUUCGGAAAGGCAGUGGAAACUGAACAGCUAGAGUAUGGUAGGGGCAGAGGGAAUUCCUGGUGUAGCGGUGAAAUGCGUAGAUAUCAGGAAGAACAUCGGUGGCGAAGGCGCUCUGCUGGACCAUAACUGACACUCAGGGACGAAAGCUAGGGGAGCGAACAGG
RNAcentral lists this ribosomal RNA (253 nucleotides) under uncultured bacterium. RNAcentral's name for it is "partial 16S ribosomal RNA". It matches the Rfam family "Bacterial small subunit ribosomal RNA", at positions 524 to 776 of the family's 1533-position model. The record is from RNAcentral.